This 322-nucleotide ribosomal RNA is filed under the name uncultured eukaryote. RNAcentral describes it as "partial 18S ribosomal RNA". It matches the Rfam family "Eukaryotic small subunit ribosomal RNA", at positions 1470 to 1796 of the family's 1831-position model. The record is from RNAcentral.
CCCUUAGAUGUUCUGGGCCGCACGCGUGCUACACUGCGUAAAUCAAUGGGUAAGGGAACACGAAAGUGCAACCUAAUCUUGAAAUUUGCUCGUGAUGGGGAUCGACGGUUGCAAUUUUCCGUCGUGAACGAGGAAUACCUUGUAGGCGCGUGUCAUCAUCACGCGCCGAAUACGUCCCUGCCCUUUGUACACACCGCCCGUCGCUCCUACCGAUUGAGUGAUCCGGUGAGGCUCUGGGACCUGGACGGAAAGAGCGUUUCGCUUGUUCUGUUUGGGAAACUUGGUCGAACCUUAUCAUUUAGAGGAAGGAGAAGUCGUAACA